Molecule: RNA transcript, 3023 nt
Organism: Musa acuminata AAA Group (dessert banana)
Lineage: Eukaryota; Viridiplantae; Streptophyta; Magnoliopsida; Zingiberales; Musaceae
Gene name: heat stress transcription factor A-4b
Exons: 6
Source: RefSeq, a predicted model, not a curated record
AUUGGAACCAUUACAAUCACCAACAAACGAACAAGCAAUUGGAUUCUUAGACUCGAAGAUGAGUUUGGCUGUGACAUCUUACAUCGAUCAGCUACUUACAUUUCCAAUUAGCGUGCGGCAGCAUCACGUUUCUUCCACCGCUUUCUCAUCUCUGUCAUCAUUCAUCGAUCAGCUUGAGCUGCCUGCAGUACUAUCUCAGCUCUCCUCGACCUAAUCGCGUUGCCUUUGUCAAAGAAGCGAGGAGGCGGAGGAGGAGGAGGAGGAGGAAAGGAAGACUUCCGCCAUGGUGCUUCCUUUUCUGGUGCAUUCCACCGCAUCAACAACCCACCCACACAAAGGCAGGCGCACCUCGCUGCACUUGGAGAGAUCAACGGGGUGGUGGUUGUGAUGAUCUCUCGAGUUUCUCUUCUACCACCGUUGGGAAGAGCUCACCGCAGCUAUUCAUUAUCAACAAUUGGACAGAGGAAAAGCUCAUUUCACAUAUCAUUGUACUGUGAAGAGAGAGAGCGAGAGAGAGAGAGAGAGAGAGAGAGAGAGAGGUGCAAAGUUAUUAUAGAAAAAGAUUGAGAGAAAAAGGAAAAGAAGGAUUCAUUUCCAGGGAGGGUUAGACUUGUUCUUAUUAUUGCUUGCUUCUUCUUCUAGAAAAUUCCGACGAUUCCGACUCGGACACACCACAUCGCCAUUGAACCCUUCCAGAAUAGCAUCGAAGAGUUCGGUUUCUCGCAUCAAAAAUUGGUUUUGGCCAUCCGAAGAAGCACGAGCGAGAGGAAGAGGAGGAAAGGUCGGACCUUUGCGCGGAUUACUCGAAGGCGUCGCCUGAUUGGCGAUCGGUUCUGGUGUAAAGGUUGUUCCAUUUGGGUGCUUGAUCUUGAAAGUUGAAACCACGCGGUGUCUUUCGGCCUCUCGGUCAGAUGGGGACUUCGUGGCUCAUUUGAAAAUGGAGCGGAUCGAUCGAGGUUGUGGAUGAGGAGGUGGUUUCUUGGUUGAUCUUUCGAUGGAAGGAUGCGAUUUGCCCUAAUCUUGAAGGGGCAAGGAUGCUUUGACUUCCCGAUCUGGUGGUGGUGUUUGGCUGAUAGGGAUGGAAGGCUCUCGGGGGAGCUCGAAUUCCCCUCCCCCGUUCCUCACGAAGACAUACGAGAUGGUGGACGACCCGUCGACGAACUCCAUCGUUUCAUGGAGCCCCUCAAACACGAGCUUCGUCGUGUGGAAUCCGCCGGAGUUUGCUAGGGAUUUGCUUCCCAAGUAUUUUAAGCACAACAAUUUCUCCAGCUUCGUCAGGCAGCUCAACACUUAUGGUUUCAGAAAAACAGACCCUGAUCAAUGGGAGUUCGCAAAUGACGAUUUCAUACGAGGACAAAGGCACCUCUUACAAAACAUUUACAGACGCAAGCCGGUGCAUAGCCAUUCGCUGCACAACCAAGGCAACACUUCGGAAGCUGAAAGACAGGAGCUUGAAGAGGAAAUUGAGAGGCUUAAGCAAAAAAAGGGUACACUUUUGAAUGAGUUUCAGAAGCAGACACAGCAGCGGCAUGGAAUGGAGCACCAAAUGCAGUCCUUAGAGGAUAGAUUGCAGGUUUUGGAAAACCGACAGAGAAGCCUCAUGGACUUCUUGGCACAAAUCAUACAGAAACCCGGGUUCCUUUCUAACAUUGUACAAUUCUCUGAUCUUCGUAGCAAGAAAAGGAGAUUGCCAAAGAUCGAUUUUCUAAGUGAGGAUGCUAUAAUGGAAGAUAACCAGAUCGCGUCUUUUCAGCCUGUUGCAAGAGAAAAGUCUGACAUUCUUCCUAUGUAUGCACUCGACAUGGAGCCAUUUGAGAAGAUGGAAUCAUCGUUGAAUUCAUUGGAAAAUUUCUUCAAAAGUGUUAGUCAAGCUUCUGGUGACGAUGUCUGCUAUGAUAGUAUCGUGCCAUGCCUGCCCUCUAAUGUGAUUCUUGAUGAGAUGAAUGCAUCAUCCGGGGAGACUGAUGUGAAUUUGCAAUUGCUGUUUCCUAAACUGCAUCCUCCUUCACCUUGCCCGGGAGAUAUUCAUUCAUCUCCAGAGGUAGCAGAAUCCACUAGUGAUGCAGAAACGUCUGUUAUUCCUGCAACCGAAAUACAAACAGAUUCACAAAGCAAGGUUUCUAAGAUAGACAUGAAUUUAGCACCUGCUGCCAUAGAUAUUGAUUCGUCAAGAGGUCAAACUACCGGAACUGUGGCACCGACAGGGGCAAAUGAUGUGUUCUGGGAACAGUUUCUUACGGAGAUCCCAGGUUCUUCUGAGACAAAGGAAGUCCAGUCAAAAAGAAGAGAUUUAGAUGACAAACAAAGUCAAGGAGAGUUGGGAGAGCGAGGAAACACAUGGUGCGACGGGAAAAAUGUUGAUCACCUUGCAGGAAAGAUGGAAAAUCUCACUUCAGCAGAUUAAACUUGAUUACUGUCUGUUCUGCAGAGUCCAGGGUGUUCUCAAGAGUGUCUUUGUGCUGGGGAGCCCCAGCGUGUUUGAUUUUUCACUCGGCUACAGAACCAGAUAUAGCAAAGGAUGCUCUUGUCUCCUACUGCGAAGUGCCAUUGAAUUGUUCGUGGUGAUUACCUGAUAUUGUUUGCAGAUAAGGAUUUCCCCACAUUGCAGGAGUACAGCAUCACGAAAGCAUAAUGCAAUCUUCAUCGCUUGCCGGCGCCAGAGAGGGAAAGAUUGUUCUAGUCACUUGGCCUUGUUUUGCUUAUUCCAAAUGGGCAUUCCGCUUGCUAGUUCUCCCUGUUGCUUCCACUCAAACAUUUUAUAAUGCUUAUCAGUCUUGGAAUCAGACUUUCCUUUUUUGGGGGAUAGAUACCAAAGUUAAAUAAAUGUUAAUUAGUUGAGUUGUUAUAGUCAUCAUAAUGAUGGGAGCCAUAGUGAUUGCUGCAUGAUGCAGAGUGUGCAUGGUGCAAGACUCUGUUCUAUGUGGUGAUAAUUGAUUGUAAUUGUGUGUUCCACAUUGAGUCAUACACCUGUGAGCUGGUCAUGGUUGAAGAAUACCUGUGUUGGAAAUGUAUUGUAUUGUGCA